GACGAACGCUGGCGGCGUGCCUAAUACAUGCAAGUAGAACGCUGAAGGAGGAGCUUGCUCUUCUGGAUGAGUUGCGAACGGGUGAGUAACGCGUAGGUAACCUGCCUGGUAGCGGGGGAUAACUAUUGGAAACGAUAGCUAAUACCGCAUAACAGUAGAUGUUGCAUGACAUUUGCUUAAAAGGUGCAAUUGCACCACUACCAGAUGGACCUGCGUUGUAUUAGCUAGUUGGUGGGGUAACGGCUCACCAAGGCGACGAUACAUAGCCGACCUGAGAGGGGGAUCGGCCACACUGGGACUGAGACACGGCCCAGACUCCUACGGGAGGCAGCAGUAGGGAAUCUUCGGCAAUGGACGGAAGUCUCACCGAGCAACGCCGCGUGAGUGAAGAAGGUUUUCGGAUCGUAAAGCUCUGUUGUAAGAGAAGAACGAGUGUGAGAGUGGAAAGUUCACACUGUGACGGUAUCUUACCAGAAAGGGACGGCUAACUACGUG
RNAcentral lists this ribosomal RNA (495 nucleotides) under uncultured bacterium. RNAcentral's name for it is "partial 16S ribosomal RNA". It matches the Rfam family "Bacterial small subunit ribosomal RNA", at positions 28 to 507 of the family's 1533-position model. The record is from RNAcentral.